This 674-nucleotide long non-coding RNA is filed under the name Numida meleagris (helmeted guineafowl). RNAcentral's name for it is "lncRNA (ENSNMEG00000003907.1)". Lineage: Eukaryota; Metazoa; Chordata; Aves; Galliformes; Numididae. The record is from RNAcentral.
UUGCCGACGUAGAUGGAGCGCGCGUCGGCCUCCAUCUUCUCCUCCAGCGACAUGAUGACGGGGCCGGCUGCGGGGACACCCCAAAACGUCACCCCAAAACGACCCCAAAAUGGGACCCCGAGUGACCCCAAAAUGGGACACUGAGAGACCCCAAAUGGGACCCCAAAAUGACCCCAAAUGGGACCCCAAAAUGAGCCCAAAUGGGACCCCAAAAUGAGCCCAAAUGGGACCCCAAAAUGAUGCCCAAUGGGACCCCCAAAAUGGGACCCUGAGUGACCCCAAAAUGGGACCCCGAGUGACCCCAAGAGACCCCAAAACGGGACCCCAAAAUAUGACCCAAAGUGACCCCGAAUUGUGACCCCGAGUGACCCCAAAAUGGGACCCCGAGUGACCCCAAAGAGGGACCCCAAAAUGACCCCAAAUGGGACCCCAAAUUGGACCCCAAAAUGGGACCCCAAAAUGACCCCAAAUGGGACCCCAAAAUUGGGACCCCAAACCCCAGGGACCCCAAAAUGGGACCCCAAAACGGGACCCCAAAACGGGACCCCAAACCCCAGGGACCCCAAACCCCAGGGACCCCAAACCCCAGGGACCCCAAACCCCAGGGACCCCAAAAUGGGACCCCAAAAUGGGACCCCAAAAUGGGACCCCAAAAUGGGACCCCAAGUGACCCC